RNAcentral lists this unclassified non-coding RNA (310 nucleotides) under uncultured fungus. RNAcentral describes it as "partial contains small subunit ribosomal RNA, internal transcribed spacer 1, and 5.8S ribosomal RNA". The stretch from base 1 to 73 matches the Rfam family "Eukaryotic small subunit ribosomal RNA", at positions 1759 to 1831 of the family's 1831-position model. Lineage: Eukaryota; Fungi. The record is from RNAcentral.
UCAAACUUGGUCAUUUAGAGGAAGUAAAAGUCGUAACAAGGUCUCCGUUGGUGAACCAGCGGAGGGAUCAUUACCGAGUUUACAACUCCCUAACCCACUGUGAACAUACCUCAAGUUGCUUCGGCGGGAACGCCCCGGCGCGCCCUCCGCCCCCCGUCCGCGGGGGUCGGGGUGCCCAGCCCGGAACCAGGCGCCCGCCGGAGGUCACCAAACUCUUGUCUUCAGUAUAUUCCUCUGAGUGGCAAACGCAAAAUAAAUCAAAACUUUCAACAACGGAUCUCUUGGCUCUGGCAUCGAUGAAGAACGCAGC